UGGCGGACGGGUGAGUAAUGUCUGGGAAACUGCCCGAUGGAGGGGGAUAACUACUGGAAACGGUAGCUAAUACCGCAUAACGUCUGCGGACCAAAGCGGGGGACCUCCGGGCCUCGCGCCAUCAGAUGAACCCAUAUGGGAUUAGCUAGUAGGUAAGGUAACGGCUUACCUAGGCGACGAUCCCUAGCUGGUCUGAGAGGAUGAUCAGCCACACUGGGACUGAGACACGGCCCAG
This 235-nucleotide ribosomal RNA is filed under the name uncultured bacterium. RNAcentral describes it as "partial 16S ribosomal RNA". It matches the Rfam family "Bacterial small subunit ribosomal RNA", at positions 96 to 334 of the family's 1533-position model. The record is from RNAcentral.